UACGUAGGGUGCAAGCGUUGUCCGGAAUUACUGGGCGUAAAGCGUGCGCAGGCGGUUCGUUAAGUCAGCUGUGAAAGCCCCGGGCUCAACCUGGGAAUUGCGGUUGAAACUGGCGGACUAGAAUCUGGCAGAGGGGGGUGGAAUUCCACGUGUAGCAGUGAAAUGCGUAGAGAUGUGGAGGAACACCGAUGGCGAAGGCAGCCCCCUGGGCUGAGAUUGACGCUCAGGCACGAAAGCGUGGGGAGCAAACAGG
This 253-nucleotide ribosomal RNA is filed under the name uncultured bacterium. Its description in RNAcentral is "partial 16S ribosomal RNA". It matches the Rfam family "Bacterial small subunit ribosomal RNA", at positions 524 to 776 of the family's 1533-position model. The record is from RNAcentral.